This 211-nucleotide unclassified non-coding RNA is filed under the name plant metagenome. RNAcentral describes it as "partial contains small subunit ribosomal RNA, internal transcribed spacer 1, and 5.8S ribosomal RNA". The record is from RNAcentral.
UUUCCGUAGGUGAACCUGCGGAGGGAUCAUUCAUAAUAAAGUGUUUUAUGGCACUUUUUAAAAAUCCAUAUCCACCUUGUGUGCAAUGUUAGAUCUCGUCAAUCUUGGCGAGAUUUUUAUACAUCAACUCAUUCUUUAACUGAUUUGUCUGAAAAAUAUUAUGAAUACUUAAUUCAAAAUACAACUUUCAACAACGGAUCUCUUGGCUCUC